GCUUCAUUAUCAAACAGAGGAUUGCUUUCAAUUCCACGGUACAUGUGCUAUGACAAGAUACUAUUUCAUUAAUGCAUUUGUUAAUGCAACCAACAGAGCGACCAGUGGUCAUCGUCUACCCCAGAGAUCAGAAGGGAGACAUUUAUGGCUGCACAGUGGAACAUGAAGCCCUUGAGGAGCCUCUGACCAGAUUUUGGGAGGUUGAUGCAAACACAGUGGAGCCCACUAUGGAUUCAACCAUCUAUUUUGGAUUUGCCUCAGUUUUUGGGCUUCUUGGAGUUGUCACAGGGAUAUUCUUUAUUGUCAAAGGAAAACAUGCAUAACCAAGCUGAAGAACACCUGCAAAUUACUGUGAUAACUUUACAUUGUAGCAAUAAAAAAGGGAAGGAGCAAAAAAUGUACUCUUCUGUAUGUAUUGCACAUAAUUUACUUCAUGUGAUCAAGAAAAACGAUGGAAAGGCCACCACAGAAAAACACUUUCAUCAUGUAGGUGGAGCCCUACUCGUUUGGGUGUCUGAAACUACAUCCUCCAUAUGUUUUCACAAAUAGAAUACAAAAAAACCCAUUUAUAUCUAUUUUCUUUGAUUCUGAUCAUACAGUGCGAUGACAGUAGU
Molecule: long non-coding RNA, 614 nt
Organism: Oreochromis aureus
Lineage: Eukaryota; Metazoa; Chordata; Actinopteri; Cichliformes; Cichlidae
Exons: 4
Source: RefSeq, a predicted model, not a curated record